This 206-nucleotide ribosomal RNA is filed under the name Chlorella pituita. RNAcentral's name for it is "partial 28S ribosomal RNA". It matches the Rfam family "Eukaryotic large subunit ribosomal RNA", at positions 1 to 204 of the family's 3401-position model. Lineage: Eukaryota; Viridiplantae; Chlorophyta; Trebouxiophyceae; Chlorellales; Chlorellaceae. The record is from RNAcentral.
UUCGACCUGAGCUCAGGCAAGACUACCCGCUGAACUUAAGCAUAUCAAUAAGCGGAGGAAAAGAAAUCAACUGAGAUGCCCUUAGUAACGGCGAGCGAACCGGGCAAAGCCCAACUGAAAUCUCCAGCCUCCGGCUGGCGAAUGUAGUCUAGAGAAGCGCUCUCUGCCUCAACCUUGACCCCAAGUUCUCCUGGAAAAGGGGCGUC